RNAcentral lists this unclassified non-coding RNA (405 nucleotides) under soil metagenome. RNAcentral describes it as "partial contains 5.8S ribosomal RNA, internal transcribed spacer 2, and large subunit ribosomal RNA". The stretch from base 1 to 121 matches the Rfam family "5.8S ribosomal RNA", at positions 35 to 154 of the family's 154-position model. The record is from RNAcentral.
GAUGAAGAACGUAGCGAAAUGCGAUAAGUAAUGUGAAUUGCAGAAUUCAGUGAAUCAUCGAAUCUUUGAACGCACCUUGCGCCCUUUGGCCAUUCCGAAGGGCAUGCCUGUUUGAGUAUCAUGAACACCUCAACUCUUUAUGGUUUUCCAUGAUGAGCUUGGACUCUGGGGGUUUUGCUGGCUCACAGUCGGCUCCUCUAAAAUGAAUCAGCUUACCAGUGUUUGGUGGGUAUCAUGGGUGUGAUAACUAUCUACGCUUGUGGUUUUUCCACCAGGUGACCUUCAGCAGUGGAGGUUCGCUGGAGCUCAUAGAUGUCUCUCCUCAGUGAGGACAGCCCUUUGAAUGUUUGAUCUCAAAUCAGGUAGGACUACCCGCUGAACUUAAGCAUAUCAAUAAGCGGAGGA